AACAGAAAAAAGACCGUAAUCCUU
RNAcentral lists this small nuclear RNA (24 nucleotides) under Arabidopsis thaliana (thale cress). RNAcentral's name for it is "snRNA_01701". The record is from RNAcentral. Lineage: Eukaryota; Viridiplantae; Streptophyta; Magnoliopsida; Brassicales; Brassicaceae.